RNAcentral lists this transfer RNA (69 nucleotides) under Monomorium pharaonis (pharaoh ant). Its description in RNAcentral is "tRNA-Gln". Lineage: Eukaryota; Metazoa; Arthropoda; Insecta; Hymenoptera; Formicidae. The record is from RNAcentral.
UAUAUUUUAAUGUAAGAAGCAUAAGAAUUUUUGAAGUUUUUAGAAAUAGUUUAAUUCUAUUAAAUAUAA